Non-coding RNA from Rattus norvegicus (Norway rat), 68 nucleotides. NCBI's taxonomy places the organism in Eukaryota, Metazoa, Chordata, Mammalia, Rodentia, Muridae. The record is from Rfam.
GGAAUUUAGCUCAGUGGUAGAGCACUUGCCUAGCAAGCACAAGGCCCUGGGUUCAGUCCCCAGCUCCG